Molecule: ribosomal RNA, 254 nt
Filed under: uncultured bacterium
Lineage: Bacteria
Description: partial 16S ribosomal RNA
Rfam family: Bacterial small subunit ribosomal RNA
Source: RNAcentral
UACGGAGGGUGCGAGCGUUGUCCGGAAUCACUGGGCGUAAAGGGCGCGUAGGUGGCGACGCAAGUCAACGGUGAAAGCUCGACGCUCAACGUCGAGUCGGCCGUCGAGACUGCGUGGCUCGAGCACUGUAGAGGCAGAUGGAAUUCCGGGUGUAGCGGUGGAAUGCGUAGAGAUCCGGAAGAACACCGGUGGCGAAGGCGGUCUGCUGGGCAGUAGCUGACACUGAGGCGCGGACAGCGUGGGGAGCAAACAGG